CCUACGGGAGGCAGCAGUGAGGAAUCUUGGUCAAUGGCCGUAAGGCUGAACCAGCCAAGUAGCGUGAGGGAAGACUGCCCUAUGGGUUGUAAACCUCUUUUAUGCGGGGAUAAAGGUGUCCACGUGUGGAUGUUUGCAGGUACCGCAUGAUUAAGGACCGGCUAAUUCCGUGUCAGCAGCCGCGGUAAUACGGAAGGUCCGGUCGUUAUCCGGAUUUGUUGUGUUUAAAGGGAGCGUAGGCCGGUCGUUAAGGGUGCCGUUAAAGUUUGUGGCUCAACCAUGAGAGUGAGUCGCGAACUGGAGACCUGGGGUGCGCGGGAGACAGGCGGAAUUCGUGGUGUAGCGGGGAAAUGCU
Molecule: ribosomal RNA, 355 nt
Filed under: uncultured bacterium
Lineage: Bacteria
Description: partial 16S ribosomal RNA
Rfam family: Bacterial small subunit ribosomal RNA
Source: RNAcentral